AUGCCACGUAUUUAUAUAGCUUUAGGAUUCGCGCCCAUGCACCCGUACCCUCGCACCACCGCGGCGUAUGGCGGAAGCGGCCGGGGCUGGCGCGCGGCGCGUCUGGAUCUAGCCACGGCGGCGGGUGCAGUUGUCGGGCGUGGUCGACUGCUGCAUCCGGAGCUGCUCGUAGAACCUCUUGAUGAAGCUGUCGGCCUCGGCGUCCACGCGCUCGUCGACGCCCUCCGGCUCGACGGGGAACGGCGAGUCGGUGACGCGCAGCUGGCGCGCCCCGGCCGGGCAGCGCCCCAGGCUGAGCGCCAGCAUGGGCGACGGCGUGGCCCGGGACACCCCCGGCGUGUCCCCGGCAGCGUGCGCGUUCAUCAUCUCGAAGGCGGCCGCCACGGUGGCAGCGUCCAGCCCGCCGUAGUUUCUGCCCCGGCCGCGGCCGCGGCCGAUCUUGAAGGGGAAGACUGCCUGCUCGUACACCGGCGUGGUCUCACAGCUGAACUCGACGUCCCUGGGGUCGUGCUGGUACAUGGAGAGCGCGGACGGGGAGGCGCCGGCCGCGGCCGCGGCGCCGAAGCGGUGGCCCCCGGCGAGCGGCUGGUGCGCGAGGAGGUCCCGGAAGUGCCUGCCGGCGAGCUUGCCGCGGCCGAGCAGCAGGUGGAGGUCCAUCAUGAGGCGCUUGCGGCAGAGGCCACGGCGCAGCAUGUGGUAGACGGCGCGCAGCACGUGGAGCAGGCGCCUCCCGAGCCCGGGCUCCACGCCUCCCCCUCCGGGCGACGACCCGCCACCCCCGCCGCUGCCGGCCGGCUGGAUCCUCCUGUCGGUCGCCAUGGCCACCACCGCGUGAACCGUGGCAAUGCAGAGAAGAGAGAGAUCACCGUCGAGCCCGCUGCGUGUCGCGUCACCGAGAUCGAGGAGCGGAGCUGGCUUUGGUGGCUUCGCUUUGCUUUGGGGUGGAGAGUGGAACAACUUUUGCUCUCAGUGCUUUGCUUGGCUAGGUGGUGA
Molecule: ribosomal RNA, 993 nt
Filed under: Triticum aestivum (bread wheat)
Lineage: Eukaryota; Viridiplantae; Streptophyta; Magnoliopsida; Poales; Poaceae
Description: partial small subunit ribosomal RNA
Source: RNAcentral